UACGUAGGGUGCAAGCGUUAAUCGGAAUUACUGGGCGUAAAGGGCGCGUAGGCGGUCGUGACAAGUCACUUGUGAAAUCUCCGGGCUUAACUCGGAACGGUCAAGUGAUACUGUCGGACUAGAGUACAGAAGGGGGCAACUGGAAUUCUCGGUGUAGCGGUGAAAUGCGUAGAUAUCGAGAGGAACACCUGCGGCGAAGGCGGGUUGCUGGGCUGAUACUGACGCUGAGGCGCGAAAGCUAGGGGGAGCGAACGGG
This 256-nucleotide ribosomal RNA is filed under the name uncultured bacterium. RNAcentral's name for it is "partial 16S ribosomal RNA". It matches the Rfam family "Bacterial small subunit ribosomal RNA", at positions 524 to 776 of the family's 1533-position model. The record is from RNAcentral.